AUGUUACCCCAGGAAAAUCCCAUAUUUUCCUGAAUGUUGGUUACCAAUGUGAAAGAUGUAUAUUGAAAACUUGGUUGUCCUUGUGAAAUGUAUUAGUUUUAACACAUAUAUAAAACUAACAUAUACAAAGUAAUUUGAUAACUUUAUUCAUUAUUACUAUUAAGUAAAUCUCUGUUAUCCUAAUUGGGAGUUCCAUAACCAUACAAUAGACUAGAUAUGGCAAUAAGUAGUCCACAUCACCUUAUGACUUUCGUUACCCUUGAACCAUUUCGGUUCGGAUGUAGCUAGCAGCUAGGUGUGGGGUAGUCAGCCUCGUAUAGAUCUAUACACUCAAGUCACGCUCCCUAUAUAAGAGAUUCUGGUUACGGGUGCGGUCCUCCACUCGCGUAUCUCUGUGGAGUGUUCACCGAGGACGUCUCUCCAAUUAUAUAGGAUUAACAAAUUUACUAGUAAUAAUAUGAUAAUCCUCCACUCGCGUAUCUCUGUGGAGUGUUACCGAGGACAAAACAGUGUACUAACUUUUAUGUUAAAGGUUCAAUUGUCAUGCUUUUAACUGAUAAAAUAUGGAAAAGCACUUGUGAAAUAUAUAAAAUAAAACAUUUUAUGACAUAUUCCACAAAUAAUAUGUUUACGUGUUCUGCAUGUUCAAACAGUUAUCUUUUAUGUCUAUUAGUGUUAAAACCAUAUGAAAUUAUGAAACACCCAUAUGUAAAACAAGUUUUCGAGUACAAGUAUUCCUUGUACUUUGCUUAUAUUCUCCCCCUGAAAACAGUGAAAAACAGUGAAAAAGGAUAGGGGUAUGAGCUCACCAGACGGGAAAAUGCGACGAUUUGAAUGCUAAGCGUUGGUUCGGGGCUUGAUAACACACGAGGUUCCGAAGUAAUAUGAAAUGGUAUAAAAAUGUAUCUAUUUGACUUUAAAACACUAAUUAGAUAUGAUAACACACUCCAAUGAGCGAAAACACUUCAAAUCAAGUGUUUGGAGUGACCCGGGUAACAUCUACGGACGUGUGGGACUUAGGAAAUGAGUUUACUCUUCAAGAGUAAACUCCUCAUGGAGUUUAUGACCCAUUAACCAUACUCCCAUGAGUUUACAGCCGUAAACUCAUGGAUGGUGGGUUCUUGGAUGCCAAAUGGUCAAACAAUGCACACGGGAAGUUAUAGGGUUGAUUCCAUGGCUUAGCAAGUGAUCGGGACUUCAAAUGGCCUUGGAAAAUGAAUUUAAGGUCUAAGGAGAUGUUCUUGGGGAGUUUACUACCUUAAAAUCAUGAGUUUACAACCGUAAACUCAUGUUUGUCCAUGAAUCAAGGGCUUUGGUGGUUGUAAUUCAAUCACAUGUGAUUGUAGUCUAACAUACAAGCCAUUCAAGGUGAUAAGGGCAUUUAAACACCCAUUUCAAGAGGUUAUGGUCUAGGAAGAUGAUUUUACGGUCUAAGAAUGUUCUUGGACCGUAAACUCUAGUUUGUCCCAUUUAUGAAUGUUUUGGUGCAUUUCUUGAAGGGUUAUACGGUUAUACGCACUCAUGGAAGUUCAUUGAAGGUGUUUAGGGGUAAACUAACACCCAAAAUGGUGUUUAAGGUCUAAGAUUGAGGUUUUACGGUCCAGGCAUGUUCUUGGACCGUAAACUCAUGUUUGGUCCCUUCUUGUGUGAUUUGGUGCUUCAAAUGAUGAAGUUGAAGGUCCUAGACACGUUUGGAAGCUUGUGGUGGUGUUUAAGGGCAUUUUUAACACCUUAAGAGGUGUUUAUGGUUCAUGCAUGGGGGUUUACGGUCCAAGAAGAUUCUUGGGCCGUAAACUCAUGUUUAUACAUCAAAUGUCAUGAUUUUUGGGUCUUUACUCCAUGCAUGCAAGUUUCUAAGUCGAAUCUAGUCCCUAGAAGUGUUUUGGAGGGGUUUUGAGGCUUCAAAACCCUCAUAUGAGGUGUUCACGGCCUAAGGAGGGUUCUUAUACCAUAAAAACAUGUUCAUAUGUGUUUUGGGUGAUUCCAACAUGAGUUUGCAAACCAGUUAAGUUAGAUAACAAGUUUAGGAUGGAUUUCUUACCAAAUGAUGCUUGAAAUGGGGUUUUUGAGGCAAUUCGAGUUCUAGAGAGAGUGUAGAAAGAGAAAGUUUUUAGAGAGAGGGAUAAAGCCUCAAAAUGAUGUCACUCAAUCCCUUAUAUAGGGGUUGAGUUUGUGGCCCGGUGGAACUCUACCCGAUACUGUCGUUAGACGAUGCUUUUGGUCGCACCCGAUAAAGUUACUGUAAUUAAGACUUAAAUGAAAAUAAUAAUUUUCCAAACAAUUAUGGAAAAUAUUUUAACAAUUAAAACACAUCUCGACAAUUACGAAACCAAAAUAAAAGUUGUGAUAAAAUUAAUUUAACGCAAAUGGUUAAUAGAACGAAUUGAAUACGACGGUUUUAUUUGACGGGAACGGUUUUAGCGACGGAAUAAAUUACAGGUUGUCACAUUAUCCCCCCGUUAGAGGAAAUUUUGUCUCGAAAUUUAGAAUGAAGAUACAAAUCAUGGAUUUGGAAAGAGAUGAGGAUACUUCUGUUUCAUCGAGUCUUCAUGCUCCCAAGUGAAUUCCGGUCCCCGCUUGGCAUUCCAGCGAACCUUCACUAUCGGGAUGCGACUUUGUUUUGUACGUUUGACCUCUCGAUCCAUGACUUCGAUCGGUUCCUCCAUGAAGUUCAUGUUUUCGUUGAUUUCGAUCUCGUCUAAGGGAAUCACAAGGGUUUCAUCGGAUAAGCACUUUUUGAGAUUUGAAACAUGGAAGACGGGAUGGAUGUUAUUGAGCUCAUGGGGUAAUCGAAGUUUAUAGGCUACCAGACCGAUCCUAGAAAGGAGCUCAAAAGGUCCAAUGUACCUCAAAUUAUGUUUUCCACGAUUUCCAAAGCAUACCAUGCCUUUCCUGGGCGAGACCUUCAACAGGACACGGUCUCCAACCUGGAAAUCCAGAGGUUUUCGUCGAUUAUCAGCAUAACUCUUUUGGCGAUCUCGCGAAGCUUUCAGUCACUCCCGGAUUUGGAUGAUCUUUUCGGUGGUUUCGCGGAUGAUUUCAGGACCAAUGAGAGCACUGUCAGGGACUUGACUCUUAGCUAGCUGCGUGUCCCCUACCUCGGCCCAGCACAGAGGGGAUCUGCACUUGCGACCGUAGAGGGCCUCAAAUGGAGCAGCCUUGAUGUUGGUGUGGUAACUGUUGUUGUACAAGAACUCGAUCAAGGGCAGAUGAGUGUCCUACGACUUUCCAAAAUCAAUGACACAUGCUCUAAGCAUGUCCUCCAGGGUUUGGAUUGUUCUCUCUCUCUGUCCAUCGGUCUGAGGAUGAUAGGCCGUGCUCAUGUCUAGUUUAGUUCCAAGAGUCUUUUGGAGAGACUGCCGAAAUCGGGAGGUGAAUCUGCUAUCUCGGUCAGAGAUAAUGGAUGCAGGUACACCGUGCAGUCGGACUACGUCUUGGAUGUAAAUUCGUGCGAGUCUUUCCAUCUUGAAUGAUUCUUUGAUCGGAAUGAAGUGAGUGGACUUUGUCAAACGAUCGACAAUUANUUGACAAUUACCAAAGGGUGUCGUACCCACUCGAACACUUGGGUAACUUGGUGAUGAAAUCCAUGGUAAUCAUCUCCCAUUUCCACUCGAGUAUCUCGGGCUGCUGGAGCAGACCAGAGGGUUUCUGGUACUCAACUUUAACCUUGGCGCAAGUCAGGCACUUGCCCACGAAUGUAGCGAUCUCGGCUUUCAUGUUGGGCCACCAGUAUUGUUUCUUGAGAUCCAGGUACAUCUUGUCCGAACCCGGAUGAACAGAGUAUCUGGUCUUGUGUGCUUCUUCCAUGACAAUCUCCCUGAAUCCUCCGGACUUUGGAAUCCAGAUUCGGUCCAUAAAACAGUAGACUCCGUCACCUAUGAUCUCAAGUUUCUUAUCCAUUCCCCUCAAGGCUUCGCUUGACACGUUCUCAGGUUUAAGGGCUUCUAAUUAGGCUUCUCGGAUUUGCAUGGAUAAAUGGGAAUGGAUAGUCAUCGUCAGGGUCUUCACUUUGCGGUUUGAACUUUCCUUUCGGCUAAGGGCAUCUGCUACCACAUUGGCCUUGCCGGGAUGGUAGCGGAUUUCACACUCAUAGUCACUGAGUAGUUCUACCCAUUGCCGUUGUCUCAUGUUUAAGUCUUUCUGAUCGAGGAUGUGCUGCAAGCUCUUAUGGUCAGUGAAGAUCGUACACUUGGUCCCAUAGAUAUAAUGUCUCCAGAUCUUCAGUGCAAAGACUACGGCUCCUAACUCCAAGUCAUGCGUGGUAUAGUUGACCUCGUGUGCUUUCAGCUGUCUAGAGGCAUAAGUAAUUACUUUUCCUCUUUGCAUAAGCACACAGCCUAAGCCUUGAUUAGAUGCAUCGUAGUAGACAACGAAGUCCUCUGUCCCUUCGGGUAGGGACAGUACAGGCGUGUUGCACAAGGCUUGCUUUAAUGUCUGGAAUGCUGCUUCUUGCUUUUCACUCCAGCAAAAGGGUACACCUUUCUGUGUUAAAGUGGUUAAGUGUUUGGCGAUCUUGGAAAAGUUCUGGAUGAAUCUCCGAUAGUAGCCGGCGAGACCCAAGAAUUGACGGAUUUCUAUGGGUGUCUUCGGUGCCGACCAAUUCUCUAUUGCUUUAAUCUUGGAAGGAUCUACAUGAAUACCCUCCUCGCUUACGACGUGACCGAGGAAAGUUACCUUCCGAAUCCAGAACUCGCAUUUGGAAAAUUUCGCGUACAACUUCUCGGAUCGNCUAAGGGUUUCCAACACUAACCUCAAGUGCUGUUUGUGGUCUUCUUCGCUUCUGGAGUAGACAAGUAUGUCAUCAAUGAACACAAUGACGAACUUGUCCAGAUAGGGACGACACACCCGGUUCAUUAGGUCCAUGAACACUGCCGGUGCGUUAGUUAGACCGAAGGGCAUCACUACGAAUUCGUAGUGUCCAUACUGAGUUCUGAAAGCUAUUUUAGAAACAUCACUCUCAUGAACUCGUAGCUGAUGGUACCCUGACCGAAGGUCUAUCUUGGAGAAGUAAUUGGCUCCCUAGAGUUGAUCGAAGACGUCAUCUAUUCGCGGAAGAGGAUAUCGGUUUUUGACGGUCAACUUGUUCAGCUCACGGUAGUUGAUACACAUCCGAAAGGAUCCAUCUUUCUUCUUGAUGAACAAUAUCGGAGCUCCCCAGGGUGAGGAACUCAGUCUAAUGAAUCCUUUACUAAGCAACUCAUUGAGUUGGCUGGAUAACUCUUGCAUUUUUGCUGGAGCUAAGCGAUACAGAGAUUUUGCUACAGGGGUAGCUCCAGGAAUUAGGUCAAUACAGAACUCGACCUGACGCUCGGGAGGGAUUCCUAGAAGCUCUUCGGGAAAUAUAUCAGGAAAGUUACAGACUUCGGGGAUGCUCGCGAGGUCCUUAACUACCUAUUUCUCAUUGAUUACAUGGGCUAAGAAUACAAUGCACUCCUUUCGCAGGAGCUUUUGAGCUUUGAUGCAGGAAAUGAUACGAAGAUUGGAACUGAGUUUAUCGCCAUAGAUUACGAGAGUUUGAUCCGAAGGAAGGUUGAGACGGAUGGAUUUUUCGAAAUAGAGGAUAUCAACAUGAUUGGGACUCAACCAAUCCAUGCUAAUGAUGACAUCAAAGCUCUUUAUGGAAACUGGCAUCAGAUCAAUGGAAAAUGAAUGAUCAUUCAGGGUAAGGGUACAACCUACGAACACAUCGAUGGCGCUUUCUUUCUCACCGUUAGCCAUCUCGACAGUAAAAGUUUCAGUUAAAGGUUGGGGAUUAUGUUUUAGGUUAUGUUUGAACGCAUGACUAACAAAGCUUCUUUCAGCACCCGAAUUGAAAAAAAUACUAGCAUAUGAGUUGUCGAGAAGGAACGUACCCGAGACUACAGUGGGAUCGGCGACUGCUUCCUCCCGUCCUAUAGCUAGGACUCUCUCAGUAUUAUCAGCUGUUGAUUUCUUGGGGCAAUUCCUUUUAAAACGUACAACCUCUCCACAGCUAUAGCAGGCUUGACCAACGCCUGCUCCAGAUGAUUGAUUUGCCGAUUGGACCGGAGCUUUGCAGAAUCGGACCGUGUGCCCCUUCUUACCACAAUUGGUGUAAGAUAAUUCUCGGCAGGGGCCUGGGCUGUGGUGAUAUUUGCACUUGUCACACAGAGGAAGAUUACCAGCAUAUCUGCUAGUAGGAGUUGGAGCUGUGGAUCCUACAAUAGAAGCAGCAGCAACGGGAAUAGUAGCAGCAUGGAUUGCUGCAGUCUGCUAUCUCUUGGAGGAUCCUUGGGAAGAUUGAUCCUUCUUCUUCUUCCAGAACUUUCUUUUCUCACCACUCCUCUUGGUCGGCUCAUGAGCGGUGGUGGUUUCCUCGACGUCUUUGUUGGGUUUUGAGCAAUCUAACAGUUCCUAAGUGUGCAUGCAACCCUAAUAAACCUUGGAUCUAUGUUUGUCUAAAUACAUGCAAAAUAAUAAUUUUCCAAGGUUCAUAACCUAUCUAACAUGGCAUGGGGUACUUUUAAACAUAAAAAAAUUAGAUAAGAUUACAUACCUUUUGAUGAUGAGUUUGAUUCCUAAGGAGUUUGAGGGCCAAGCACCAAUAGUGUGAAUGCCUCAAAUGGAAUCACAAAUCACCACAAACUCUUGGAAAACUUUGAGAGAGUGUAUACACACAUAAAAAUCGGCCACACACACAAAACCACACUAGUGGCUAUUUCAUGCAACAUAAGCAUGCUUAUAUAGUGUGCAUGGUUAGGGUGAAACCCUAAUAACCCAUGACCUUUCCUUUUCCAAGGAUCCAUGGGUUAAAAGCUCCAUGGAUCAUCCAUGGACUUCCAUAUAAGCCUAGCCCAUUAACAAAUGAGUGUUAGCCCACACCAUAUAAAACAAUAGCCCACAAUUUAAUUAGUCUUCCUUUUAAUCUCUAAAUUAAUUCAUAAUUAAUUUAAGACUAAGACUAAUUAAAUAACAUGACUUCAUAUUAAUAUAUUAUAACUUAUAAUAUAUUAAUAAACAUAUGUGUAUAACUCUCAUAAAAUUAUCCAUAAAUAGUUCGGAUGAAAUGCAACCCAAAUGGACCAUGCCGGGUCGGGUCAAGUAUAUACCAAAUAAGUUAUGGACUUAGACACCUUAUCCAACAGACUCCCACUUGGAUAAGUCUAAUAACUAUAUUUGCGUAUGUUACUUCAGGAACCAACCAGCAAUCGUAGCUCUCGAAAACUCUGUUGAACUAUGAAGCGCCAUUUUAGAUAAGUGAUCAUAUAAUCCUCUGUUCUCAUGAUAUCAGCCGGACAAAUACAUGGAACAACGUCGUACUUAUUGUCCAGCAGUUUGUUUCCCGAUUUUCGAUUUGUUUGACAAAGAACUUAAUCGAACACAUCAAUUUAGUUCUGACCGGCCGGUACAUAGGUCACAACAAAAUCAUCGAGGGGCCCAGAUAUCGCUUCUAUUUCUAGAAGGAACAGAUAAACUUCGACUCAUAUGCUUGUUCUACUACUUGUUGAAUUGUACACAAAGGCACGUUUUAUAACAUCAAGUUACUGAUGCGUUUACGUGCAAUCAAUGCACAACCAACUCAUAGGUAACAACUCAUAUCUCUAGGUUUGAAGAUUUAUAUGAUAUUACCGUCUCACGAUCACUCGAGAUAAAUUCCAUGAAGUGAUACAAGUGAGCGUGGGUUUAUUCCAAUACUCAUAACUUAUGAGCACUCAUGAAUGUUGUAGCAACCAUUGCUAUGACUAAACCCAUUUAGCCAUCUACAAACUCGAUUCAUGACAGUCUUGAUUCAUACCUACUUCCAACAUAUGAACGACUGUGGAGUGUUUAAAUAACUUAGUCAUUCGGAAAGAAUAACCUAGCUAUUUUGGAAGUCAAAACAUGCAAAGUGAAACACAAUAAUAAUCGAAUCCAAUAUGGUCUCAGAACCCUUUUGAAUAUAAAUAGAACCACCUUUUAUUUAUCACCAUAUUGAUUACACAUUAUUCAUUGUAUAAUGUUUCAAACAAUCAACUUAAGACUUGAAUAAAAACAACAGUCGUCCCAUGCUCCUAGCAUGUACACUUUGUUUUUCUAAACAAUAGUUAUGCCAUACUCCAAGUAUGCACACUAUGUUUGUCUAUGAUCCUUACAUUGUGAUGUAGAUCAAUUGAACAUGAUUCCAAUGAUACUCAUUUCACAAUCCCAAAUCCUUAUUGUAAAUGUGAGAAUCCCCGAUUCCUAUCAUUUACCAAAAAAUCUGUUAGAUUUUAAACUUUUAUGCAAUGUUCCUCUUGUAAUGAUUAUGCACAAAGUCACCAAAACCUUGUCACCAGUCAUUACAGAGUAUUCCAAAGAAGGUCAACUUCUAUGGAACGGAAGUCUCAUAUUCAAAGUACAUUGCUUUGAACAUCCUUCUUGCAUUAAGGUUUUCUAAUCUUACAUAGAUUGAAUAACUUCCACCUAUGGAGACAUUUCCAUAGUCCCAUUUUGACUAUCACUUCCGAACAAGAGUUACUUCUUUUCAGAAUAUGUCAAUAUGGUCCUUUCCGACAACUUACAUCAUACUUCCAACUUUCCCUGAGCAACCAAUCUUUGGCGAACCUCAGAUUGUCCUCGACAAUUGCUUAAUCACUUUAGUCAUAUCCAGUUCUAGACUUUUCCCUUCUCAAUGCCUUAAGCAUUUGGAAAAUUUAGAAAAGAUGAAUAUUAUAGCACAUGCAAUCGAUCCUAUAUCCGAAGCAUAUGGGACACGAUUCAUGAUGUUUGACAUAAAGACAUGAUACUAGACCAGUCUUUUGCUACAAUAUUUUUUAUUUGCCAUGUUUUCAAAAUUUAACUAUGAAGAGGGAUGCCGUAAUCAUAAUCGAAUUUUGAAAACGCAAUAUAUAUAGAAUUUCUUCAAGUUGAACCAUUCCAACAUAAAAUUCAUAUAUAUAUUCUUGACUAAAGAUGAUUAAAAUCUCAAUCUAAGCUUUAGAAUUGAAAUGAAGUAUAAUUUCCUCUCCCUUAAUUAUAGCAAAACAACUUUUCAACCCCUGCAACUUCACGAAUUGAAACUUUGUUUUCUAUAAUUAACAUUGCUAACUUGCAACACUAAACGUAAUAAUCAUGCUCCCACUAACAUGAUGAUUAUCAGCAUAACACUUAUGCUCCCACUAGCUCUGACAUAUUUCCAGAAAUCUGCUGGACUUCUGAAAUUUAGAUUCAUACACCCUUUCUUAGAUAGCUCACAUGUGUGUCUAAACAAUUUUCAGAACUAUGAAAAGGGAUGCCGUAAUCAUAGUCUCAAUUGCUUAGGCAUUUGCCAUUUCUCACAAGUCCAUGUUAGUGUGCCGGUUAACCACACGCGCUCCACUAACGACUUUUGAAAAUGCAAAUAACACAAUUGAUAUCUACGUAAAAUCUACUUAGUGAAAGCGUUUCCUCACCAUCAUUUUCAUGAAUCGGAGAGAAACCUUAUGACACUUAGAUUUUAUAGUGUAUGAGUUCCUAUCCAUGUGAAUUUGUCAAAACCAUAAUCACAAGAUAAGGUUAGUGACAAAUUCAGCCUUACAUGGAUUAAACUUGUUCAAUCUUAGUUUCUUGUCACCUUGGUAGCACAAGGCCCACCAAUGCUUCCAAGUUGAACUCUGAUAACUCACAUGCAAAUUCAACUUAUUUGAAGUAGGUACAGAAAUAAGAAUUAUGUCAACACGAUAGGUUGCAAACCUUAAGUCGUGUGCUAGUGAUAAAUUACAGGUUUUACUCUUGAUUAAAUCUUGAAACUCUUUCAGGAUCUUUAAGGCUCCCACUGUCCCCUUGACAUAUAAGUUUCCCCAGUCAAGAACCAUUCCUUGACAAAACAAAUAUUCAAGGGAUAGUGCGGAUUCUUAUCAAGACUAACACUUCACACAAUUGGUCUUAGUUGGUCUUUGUCUCAUCCAAGACAUCACAACUUACCAAUCUCAAAUGUACAAGAGUAGAAAACAUUUUACUCUUACAUUUGACUAGUGUUAAUAAAUCUUCCUUUAUGUCACUCAAAGUUACAAUCUUGGAGUAUGACUCUAAGAAUUGUUUUGGAACGAAGUAUGACUCAUCUUCUUGAUUUUAACCAAUCCAACAAUUCAUGACCUCUCUUCUUAGCCAUAACAAUGCACUAAGACGUCCUUAGAGUAUGAAUUUGUGAUAUGGUUUCAUAAUCAUUAAGAUGAUCAUGAAAUACGAUACUAAAGUACUCUCCCAUCCUUUCAGAUUUGAGAAACUUUUAUCUUUCUGCCUAAUUUGAUUCUUCUCAUUUGUUUUGUCAUACAUUGUAACCUUUCCAAUGUUACAGAAUUAUACUUAACCUCAUAAGUAUAAUCAUAUUUACUAAUCUUUAGUAAAUCAUGACAAAUCAAUCUUUGUGGUGGACCUUGACCAGCGCACACCCAGUGUACCUAAUUCCUUAGUCCUUCAAUUGACUCACAUAUACAUGUGAUCAAAGAAUUAGUCUUAAUUUUCAAAGAUGAAAAUUCUCAUUCAUCAUACAAUACAACUUGUAUGAUUCCAAGUUUCUGUCCAAUUGAAACUUGGGUGAUGAAAAACUUUCUUCAUUUGGUAAAUUCAGACACUACCACAAAUGAAAGAAUCAAAUCCACUUUCCAAUAUUGCUAUUACUGGAAACAUAUAAGCAACAAUUUUCCACAGAUGCCAUUGUAAGGAUAUUUUUAAAAUAAAUAAAAUUAAAACCCUUUUUUUUUUUUUUUUUAAAACUUUGCGGAAAAACUUAUCCUUACAAUCCACAUGAAAACCUUGUUGUUAUCUAUUCAUAAGCAAUAUAUUAUAACUCUUAAGCAACAGCUCAAAAUUCUGAUUACCGAACCAUGCGAUCGAAACCCACCUUCGCAAUCAGAAUCAACAUAUACUUACUUUAAGCUUCCUAUCUUUUCUUUGAUUCUUAAAAACAUCAGCAUGUGACCCAUUCACAUUAUGUAAUAAGAAUCUCCAAAUAGGAACUUAAUAGAGUUAGACAGUGGACUUUACCCGAAGUAGAGUCAAACCUCUUGACUUGAUCAACCUUAUGACCUUUCAGGUGAAUAGGGCAGCUUCGCAACCAAUGCCCCUUCCUUUGGCAACAAAACACAUGGACCCUUUGGUAAUGGCACAUGAGACUAUCUCAGACUUAGCCUUUCUCUUUACCAUUUGGUCAACCGAGUUGACUAUGGCCGAUCCCUUUCCAUUGGGAAGAGAAAUCCUUUUCUAGAUAUCCAAUGCUACCAUUGUCAAUGUCCAUUUAAGACUUGGGAAGUUGUUCUUUUAAUCAAAUUUGCUUUACUGGUGUUCCAAAUCAUUGCUGAUUCCACAACACCAAGCAAAUAGAUAACAUCAUUAAGGGUCAUGUCAUAGUCUGUCUCAUAGUAGUCCCAAAGAGACUCACUAUGUUACUAAGAAAGUGAUUGAACAUCCAACUUUCACGAGACUUUGACACCCAACUCUCCCGGCUUGUCAAUAUGUGACUUUAUCUCCAAGAUGUGAGCACACAUAGACUAUGCUUGCCAAUAGGGAUUGAGUGACUUUAAACUUUUCAAGAACUUGUGGGUGAGGGAGAAUAAUUGGAGGAGGUGGAGGAAGUGAAGCAUGAUGUUGAGGGACACCAUCUUCAAGAGAUUUGGGAAGAUCAUAGUUGUCUGAACCAGACAUCUAUAAUGGGAGAAAAUCAAGUUAGUUGAUUCAAAGUCCUUAAUAUAACACCCAAUAUGAAAUAUUAAGGCUAGGACCCAACACAAUAUUUUAUAAUUUGGAAGAGGGAUGCCGUAAUCCAAGCUAUAAAAUAUUUGAAGGUAGGCGAAUGACGAUUCACCAAUUUCCACCAUGAAAAACGAAAUAAUUUAUUAGGUUUUAAUUGGAUUUGAAAUUCCUAGAUCUUUUGAGAUUCAUUGAACUUUUCAAUGGCAUGUUUCAAUCUCGAGUGUGCCCUCUCAAAUUUUGUGACUGGGAUGCCGAGGAUCACAAAACAAGGUGUGAAUAACCAUACCAAUUCACUUGGUACCCUUAAUAUUAUCACCUAAUCAAUGUGCCGGUUAACCACACACGCUCCAUUGAUCUAUGACAAACAUUAAGUCACCCUUCGUGAUCCUUACUAGUCCAAGUUAGUGUGCCGGUUAACCACACACGCUCCACCAACGACUUGGUAAGGUACAAAGUGUGAAUUCCAUGGGCUAGCACCAAAUUCACAUUUUUCCUAAAGUAACUAAGAUUGGGAAUUAAAUAAAAAAUUUUUAGUUACUUUAUAAUAAUCAUUAUACUUUUAAUGAGAAUUUAAAGUCAUUGUCCUACCCGUUCGGCUAACGACCCUCCACCGAUCAAGCAAGCGGUGGGUGAGAGUGGACACCCAUUAAGUCGCCAUUUUAUAGGCAACAACCUUAUACCCACCUUAUAGACCGGCUUCGUGAAUGAGGCCUACUAACGGUAAAACGACUUGUUCUUAUACAUAUAUAUAAUAAUUAACCAUUAAUGUUAUAAAUAGUAUAAGUGUUGAAUUUUAACUUUUAAAACUCUAAGUGUUGGAAUUAAAGUUUAUUAAAGUGUGUGAAACUUUUCAAAUUCCAAAACUUGAGGGCAAGUUUUGUAACUAUCCAAAACUUUUCAUUUCAUAACUUAUGAAUUAAAGGUUCAUAAAAAUGAAGACUCUUCAUUUUCAUGUAACUUAUGUGUUUAAAUGUGUGUGUUAAAGAAAAGUGACCUUUGGAUAUCCAUAACUUGAGGACAAAUUAUGGACUCCAUUAAAACACAUAAAUGAUCAAGAAUUAAUUCUAAACAAUUCAGCAAAUAAUUCCUAUCAUCUUCUAAAUUCAUAAGAACAUGAACAUGAUCAUCAAAAUUUCAAGAAUUAUAUGAACACAUAAAAAUCAUGGAAUUUUGAUAUAUGCUAUUGUAAAUGGAUUAGAACAACCAUUACACCAACUAAAACAAGUUUUAAAACACCAAAACAGUUUAGGGUAAUGUUUCUAGUCCAUUUCCAGCAGCAAAAGUCGAAAUUCUGCAUUCUGAUCAUUCUACUCGCCGAGUGCACGAACCUACUCGCCGAGUAGGAUGAAUUUUGCCUUGAACUCGGCGAGUCCCCCCAUGGACUCGGCGAGUCCAUCAGCCAGACAGCAACAAUUUCAACUUUUUUCACUAUUUUGCAUCAAGUAUCAAACAAGCAAGCCUAGGCUCUGAUACCACUGUUGGGUUUUGAGCAAUCUAACACUUCCUAAGUGUGCAUGCAACCCUAAUAAACCUUGGAUCUAUGUUUGUCUAAAUACAUGCAAAAUAAUAAUUUUCCAAGGUUCAUAACCUAUCUAACAUGGCAUGGGGUACUUUUAAAUAUAAAAGAAUUAGAUAAGAUUACAUACCUUUUGAUGAUGAGUUUGAUUCCUAAGGAGUUUGAGGGCCAAGCACCAAUAGUGUGAAUGCCUCAAAUGGAAUCACAAAUCACCACAAACUCUUGGAAAACUUUAGAGAGAGUGUAUACACACAUAGAAAAUCAGCCACACACACAAACCCACACUAGUGGCUAUUUCAUGCAACAUAAGCAUGCUUAUAUAGUGUACAUGGUUAGGGUGAAACCCUAAUAACCCAUGACCUUUCCUUUUCCAAGGAUCCAUGGGUUAAAAGCUCCAUGGAUCAUCCAUGGACUUCCAUAUAAGCCUAGCCCAUUAACAAAUGAGUGUUAGCCCACACCAUAUAAAACAAUAGCCCACAAUUUAAUUAGUCUUCCUUUUAAUCUCUAAAUUAAUUCAUAAUUAAUUUAAGACUAAGACUAAUUAAAUAACAUGACUUCAUAUUAAUAUAUUAUAACUUAUAAUAUAUUAAUAAACAUAUGUGUAUAACUCUCAUAAAAUUAUCCAUAAAUAGUUCGGAUGAAAUGCAACCCAAAUGGACCAUGCCAGGUCGGGUCAAGUAUAUACCAAAUAAGUUAUGGACUUAGACACCUUAUCCAACAGUCUUCACCGUGAUCAAUUAGGGUUUGGGCAAAACUCUUGGCACUAUCAAAGGUAUCCGGACGUGCAGCUAAGACGUUUCCCUUUGUUGGAUGGGUCAGCCCCCAGAUGAACUUUUCUAUCUUUUUACUUUCAGGAGUGACCAAUCCCGGGCAGAGAAGUGCGAGAUCAUCGAAUCGAGAAGUGUAUGCAGCAAUAUCGGAACCCUUCGUCUUCAGGUUCCAGAGCUCAUGCUCUAGUUUCUGCAUUUCACCACGGGGACAGUAUUCAGCUAUGAGGUGUUCUUUCAUGGCUUCCCAACCCAUGGCAUUGGCUACAGGUAGGGUCAAGGAUUUGACUUGGCCGUCCCACCAAGUCAGGGCUUUGUCAAGAAAGGUACAAGCUGCGAACUUUACUUUAUCAGAUUCCGAACAGGCACAGAUUUCGAAGAUGGAUUCGAUUUUCUCGAACCAUCGGGAAAGAGAAAUGACACCUCCAGUUCCAUUGAAGGAUGUGGGUUUUGCAUUCAUGAAAUCUUUAUAGGAACCCUCUUUUCGGUGUCCCUGAUUGCUUUAUUGAUCCUGAGUUUGAGUACCACCUCCCGAACCACCGGAACCACCAGUGUUGAAUUGAGACAUAGCAGCUGCCACCGCGGCGGUAACAGCUGCCUGAAAUACUACGUGGUCAAUUUCAGGAGGAGGUGGUGGCGGAGGUUUGUUGGUCCUUGAGCUGGGUCUUUUUCUUGGAGGCAUCUUGAUCUAAUAAGAUCAAGAAAGAGAGAGGAUGGCAAGUCCUCUAAAUUGAAUCAAGAGAUAUGACAGUUAUAUAUAUUCUGAAUAAGCGAUAAAGCAGGAAAGAGUUAUCAAUGCAGAUAUAUUAUUGCUAAAGGAAUGAUCAAGGAACAAUGGGUGAACGUGGAUUUCUACAAAGGAUUGGCUCGAGAAAUACUCCCAUAGUAUUUCAUGAUUCGCUACGAUACUGGCACGAUGUUUGUGGUAUUAAGGUAAGUUUUAGGCAUGCCGCAUACUACAGUUACUCCCAAGCACAUGUUAGCCGUGUCUUGAAUGAAUAUAGUUGGCCAGGAUAUAUUGAUCCUAGACACGACUACAUAACUGCCCAGGUUUAACCGCAGUACACAACACCCAUUUACUUAUGUUUUGUUCUACUUGUAGUUACGGAUCUCGACGGUUCGGUAUACUUGUAUACUUUUGAAAAUACUUGUAUUUUGAAGGAUACUUUUAAUUCAAAGCACUUAGGCCCUUUGGUGUUUAUAGUUUUAUACCAUGUAAGGUUUGCUAUACUUUAUUCACUAUAAACAAGGGCUCUGAUACCAAACUGUCACACCCCGAAAACCGAAGGCGGAAACAUUUCCGGGGUUGACUCCACGUUGAGUAUCAAAUCCAAUGCACAUAGUACGUAAAGUAAACAACCAUUACAUUACAUAUAGAAAGGUUUACAUUUGUCUCAAAAGUAAAGUUAUACAGUAGUGGUACAUAGUAUAUAUGAACAAAAUGAGAUGAGUCUUCUGCGCAUUCUGUCUUCGCUAAAAAGGAAUCAUCGGGUACCUGUCUAAAGCGGACCUGAGAGUACAAGCAGUUUGAAAAUCAGCAUAACAUUGGUGAGUUCAUAAGUGGUUUUGUUUUAUGAAAAUGUACGAGUUCCUUUUCUAUUUCUGAAAAUGACACACACCAAGAAAAUCCCAUAUUUUCUUAAAAAUUGGUUAUUGAAUCCCAAAAUGUAAUGUAAAAGAUGUACACUGAAAACAUGUUUACCCUUGAGAAUUGUAAAGUUUAGUUAUCUGGUUUGUUACACGAUUAUGGUUAUGUACAAAUGUUACCCCAGGAAAAUCCCAUAUUUUCCUGAAUGUUGGUUACCAAUGUGAAAGAUGUAUACUAGAAACUUGGUUGUCCUUGUGAAAUGUAUUAGUUUUAACACAUAACAUAUACAAAGUAAUUUAAUUACUUUAUUCAUUAUUACUAUUAAGUAAAUCUCUGUUAUCCUAAUUGUGAGUUCCAUAACCAUACAAUAGACUAGAUAUGGCAAUAAGUAGUCCACAUCACCUUAUGACUUUCGUCACCCUUGAACC
RNAcentral lists this long non-coding RNA (15945 nucleotides) under Lactuca sativa (garden lettuce). Its description in RNAcentral is "long non-coding RNA (LSAT_LNC001512)". Lineage: Eukaryota; Viridiplantae; Streptophyta; Magnoliopsida; Asterales; Asteraceae. The record is from RNAcentral.